CAGUCUCCAGGCACCCUGUCUUUGUCUCCAGGGGAAAGAGCCACCCUCUCCUGCAGGGCCAGUCAGAGUCUACUUAGCCUGGUACCAGCAGAAACCUGGCCAGGCUCCCAGGCUCCUCAUCUAUGGUGCAUCCAGCAGGGCCACUGGCAUCCCAGACAGGUUCAGUGGCAGUGGGUCUGGGACAGACUUCACUCUCACCAUCAGCAGACUGGAGCCUGAAGAUUUUGCAGUGUAUUACUGUCAGCAGUAUGGUAGCUCAGUGUGCAGUUUUGGCCAGGGGACCAAGCUGGAGAUCAAACG
RNAcentral lists this long non-coding RNA (300 nucleotides) under Homo sapiens (human). RNAcentral describes it as "long non-coding RNA NONHSAT072254.2". The record is from RNAcentral. Lineage: Eukaryota; Metazoa; Chordata; Mammalia; Primates; Hominidae.